UACAAUGGCGCCCCAGUCUUCCCAGCUGGGCUAGAGGGUGAUGGUGGGUACCCAUAUGGUGCCGCUCAGCAACUCGGCAUGGGGGCUGAUGCAGGCAAAUCUGCCAGCAAAUAUGGGGACGCUGGGGCCGCACUCGGUGCCCAGCCUAAUGGACCACAGACUGGGGGCAAACCUAAUUGCAAAACUGGUAACGGCCGAGGAAAUGGACGAUCUCAGCCAGCUGGUAAAUACAUUUACACACACACAGACAAAGACACAGACGCACCCAUUUUACCAUUUAAGUCCCAAAUCCUGGACAAUUCUAUUUCUUUUUCAAACCAGGCAAAGUGGUGAAGUGAAAAGAUGUGUAAUGUAUCUUGUUUGUCUUAAGACCCUGUGUGAGUGUUUAGAGUGCCUCAAUUCAAAAGCAUUCAUUCUGAGUAUGUUCCUUUGUAGCGUAUGCUGGGCCCCUUGCAGCCAGCCAGGGUGGCUACGGUGAGUACCGAAACAGUGAGGUUCUACAUAUCCCAGGCCUUAUGUGUUAUUACCGUCUCAUACUGAGUUAAGCCCUUAGAUUGUCCUUGAUGUUUAGUCCUGGAUCCUAUAGUAUACACUUACAACACAAGAUGAAAACAUAACUAAGCCCUUUAUUCUUUUUUUUCUCUACAGGAGGCAAAGACGGGAGCAAGUAUGGUUUGAACAACUACUAUGGCAACGGCUACAAAGGUGAGAGAUAGUUUUGGUGGAUUUAAAAUCAAAUAAGUUGACACACCUUUUAUGUUGUAGUCCUCCUUCUGUCUUCUAAGGCACCCAGUAAAAAAAA
Molecule: long non-coding RNA, 802 nt
Organism: Clupea harengus (Atlantic herring)
Lineage: Eukaryota; Metazoa; Chordata; Actinopteri; Clupeiformes; Clupeidae
Source: Ensembl